Molecule: ribosomal RNA, 425 nt
Filed under: uncultured bacterium
Lineage: Bacteria
Description: partial 16S ribosomal RNA
Rfam family: Bacterial small subunit ribosomal RNA
Source: RNAcentral
GUGGGGAAUCUUGCGCAAUGGGCGAAAGCCUGACGCAGCCAUGCCGCGUGAAUGAUGAAGGUCUUAGGAUUGUAAAAUUCUUUCACCGGGGACGAUAAUGACGGUACCCGGAGAAGAAGCCCCGGCUAACUUCGUGCCAGCAGUCGCGGUAAUACGAAGGGGGCUAGCGUUGCUCGGAAUUACUGGGCGUAAAGGGAGCGUAGGCGGAUAGUUUAGUCAGAGGUGAAAGCCCAGGGCUCAACCUUGGAAUUGCCUUUGAUACUGGCUAUCUUGAGUAUGGAAGAGGUAUGUGGAACUCCGAGUGUAGAGGUGAAAUUCGUAGAUAUUCGGAAGAACACCAGUGGCGAAGGCGACAUACUGGUCCAUUACUGACGCUGAGGCUCGAAAGCGUGGGGAGCAAACAGGAUUAGAUACCCGUGUAGUCC